UCCCUGGUGGCUUAGAUGGUAAAGAAUCUGCUUGCAAUGCAGGAGACCUAGGUUCGGUCCCUAGAUUGGGAA
RNAcentral lists this transfer RNA (72 nucleotides) under Bos taurus (domestic cattle). It matches the Rfam family "tRNA". Rfam says of the family: Transfer RNA (tRNA) molecules are approximately 80 nucleotides in length. Their secondary structure includes four short double-helical elements and three loops (D, anti-codon, and T loops). RNAcentral also lists the same sequence under 5 other names. The record is from Rfam by way of RNAcentral. Lineage: Eukaryota; Metazoa; Chordata; Mammalia; Artiodactyla; Bovidae.